RNAcentral lists this ribosomal RNA (499 nucleotides) under uncultured bacterium. RNAcentral's name for it is "partial 16S ribosomal RNA". It matches the Rfam family "Bacterial small subunit ribosomal RNA", at positions 28 to 507 of the family's 1533-position model. The record is from RNAcentral.
GAUGAACGCUGGCGGCGUGCCUAAUACAUGCAAGUCGAGCGAACAGACGAGAGUGCUUGCACUCUCUGACGUUAGCGGCGGACGGGUGAGUAACACGUGGGUAACCUACCUAUAAGACUGGGAUAACUUCGGGAAACCGGAGCUAAUACCGGAUAAUAUUUAGCUUCGCAUGAAGCAAUAGUGAAAGACGGUUCUGCUGUCACUUAUAGAUGGACCCGCGGUGUAUUAGCUAGUUGGUGAGGUAACGGCUCACCAAGGCAACGAUACAUAGCCGACCUGAGAGGGUGGUCGGCCACACUGGGACUGAGACACGGCCCAGACUCCUACGGGAGGCAGCAGUAGGGAAUCUUCCGCAAUGGACGAAAGUCUGACGGAGCAAUGCCGCGUGAGUGAAGAAGGUUUUCGGAUCGUAAAACUCUGUUGUAAGGGAAGAACAAGUACGUUAGUAACUGAACGUACCUUGACGGUACCUCACCAGAAAGCCACGGCUAACUACGUG